This 438-nucleotide ribosomal RNA is filed under the name Triticum aestivum (bread wheat). RNAcentral's name for it is "partial small subunit ribosomal RNA". The record is from RNAcentral. Lineage: Eukaryota; Viridiplantae; Streptophyta; Magnoliopsida; Poales; Poaceae.
AUGCUGCUAGCGGAGGGCGCAUGUCUUCAUCAUCGUCGAACUGCAUCACGAGUGAUGGAGAGAGGUGUGUUGCCAGGUAAGUUGCGGCACCGGUGGCAAGGUGGUGAUGUCCAUGAAGCGGAGGUCGUCGCCACAAGGAGUUUCAUGUCCGAGUCGUCGACAAGGUGCGUCAUCGUCGACAACAUGGAGGCGAGUCACCGACGAGUUGUGGCACCAGCGAUGAACAUGGAGGUGAGUCACAGGCAAGUUGCAUCAUCAGCGACGAAUGUGGAGGCGAGUCAUCGGCAAGUUGCGGCACCGGUGGAAAACCUGUGGCUGCGGUGCGAUGCCGCAAGAGAAGACGGCGGUGGCGCGAUGCGACGGCAGUGGUGCAAUGCCAUCGUCAUCAUGGAGAGAUGGAGUGGUGGCGCUGUGAAGGCAUCAUCCAUGACGUGGUGA